GACGAACGCUGGCGGCGUGCUUAACACAUGCAAGUCGAACGGAAAGGCCCUGCUCUUGUGGGGUGCUCGAGUGGCGAACGGGUGAGUAACACGCGAGUAACCUGCCCUUGACUUUGGGAUAACUUCAGGAAACUGGGGCUAAUACCGGAUAGGAGCUCCUGCUGCAUGGUGGGGGUUGGAAAGUUUCGGCGGUUGGGGAUGGACUCGCGGCUUAUCAGCUUGUUGGUGGGGUAGUGGCUUACCAAGGCUUUGACGGGUAGCCGGCCUGAGAGGGUGACCGGCCACAAUGGGACUGCGAUACGGCCCAGACUCCUACGGGAGGCAGCAGUGGGGAAUAUUGCACAGUGAGCGGAAGCCUGAUGCAGAAACGCCGCGUGCGGGAUGACGGCCUUCGGGUUGUAAACCGCUUUCGCCUGUGACGAAGCGUGAGUGACGGUAAUGGGUAAAGAAGCACCGGCUAACUACGUG
This 468-nucleotide ribosomal RNA is filed under the name uncultured bacterium. RNAcentral's name for it is "partial 16S ribosomal RNA". It matches the Rfam family "Bacterial small subunit ribosomal RNA", at positions 28 to 507 of the family's 1533-position model. The record is from RNAcentral.